RNAcentral lists this ribosomal RNA (449 nucleotides) under uncultured bacterium. RNAcentral's name for it is "partial 16S ribosomal RNA". It matches the Rfam family "Bacterial small subunit ribosomal RNA", at positions 29 to 523 of the family's 1533-position model. The record is from RNAcentral.
AACGAACGCUGGCGGCAUGCCUAACACAUGCAAGUCGAACGAGAUCUUCGGGUCUAGUGGCGCACGGGUGCGUAACGCGUGGGAAUCUGCCCUUUGGUUCGGAAUAACAGUUGGAAACGACUGCUAAUACCGGAUGAUGACGAAAGUCCAAAGAUUUAUCGCCAGAGGAUGAGCCCGCGUAGGAUUAGCUAGUUGGUGUGGUAAAGGCGCACCAAGGCGACGAUCCUUAGCUGGUCUGAGAGGAUGAUUAGCCACACUAGGACUGAGCCACGGCCCAGACUCCUACGGGGGGCAGCAGUGGGGAAUAUUGGACAAUGGGCGAAAGCCUGAUCCAGCAACGCCGCGUGAGUGAUGAAGGCCUUAGGGUUGUAAAGCUCUUUUACCCGGGAUGAUAAUGACAGUACCGGGAGAAUAAGCUCCGGCUAACUCCGUGCCAGCCGCCGCGGUAA